AUCUAGAUAUUUUAUAUAAAAUUUUAAUUUGUGGUGUUAAAGAUGACGUUAAGUCUCUAG
Molecule: transfer RNA, 60 nt
Filed under: Leiochrinini sp. 2 ACP-2013
Lineage: Eukaryota; Metazoa; Arthropoda; Insecta; Coleoptera; Tenebrionidae
Description: tRNA-His
Source: RNAcentral